GACGAACGCUGGCGGCGUGCUUAACACAUGCAAGUCGAACGGUGAAGCGCCUUCCUUUUUGGUGGGUGUGGAUGAGUGGCGAACGGGUGAGUAACACGUGAGUAACCUGCCCCCUUCUUCUGGAUACCCGCAUGAAAGUGUGGCUAAUACGGGAUAUUCUGGGUCUGUCGCAUGAUGGGUCUGGGAAAGAUAUUGUUUCGGUGGGGGAUGGGCUCGCGGCCUAUCAGCUUGUUGGUGGGGUGAUGGCCUACCAAGGCGGUGACGGGUAGCCGGCCUGAGAGGGUGGACGGUCACACUGGGACUGAGACACGGCCCAGACUCCUACGGGAGGCAGCAGUGGGGAAUAUUGCACAAUGGGCGCAAGCCUGAUGCAGCGACGCCGCGUGAGGGAUGGAGGCCUUCGGGUUGUGAACCUCUUUCGCCAGUGAAGCAGGCCUGCCUCGUUUGUGGGUGGGUUGACGGUAGCUGGAUAAGAAGCGCCGGCUAACUACGUG
This 494-nucleotide ribosomal RNA is filed under the name uncultured bacterium. RNAcentral describes it as "partial 16S ribosomal RNA". It matches the Rfam family "Bacterial small subunit ribosomal RNA", at positions 28 to 507 of the family's 1533-position model. The record is from RNAcentral.